This 496-nucleotide ribosomal RNA is filed under the name uncultured bacterium. Its description in RNAcentral is "partial 16S ribosomal RNA". It matches the Rfam family "Bacterial small subunit ribosomal RNA", at positions 28 to 507 of the family's 1533-position model. The record is from RNAcentral.
GACGAACGCUGGCGGCGUGCCUAAUACAUGCAAGUUGAGCGAUGAAGAUUGGUGCUUGCCCCAAUUUGAAGAGCAGCGAACGGGUGAGUAACGCGUGGGGAAUCUGCCUUUGAGCGGGGGACAACAUUUGGAAACGAAUGCUAAUACCGCAUAACAACUUUAACCAUAAGUUUUAAGUUUGAAAGAUGCAAUUGCAUCACUCAAAGAUGAUCCCGCGUUGUCUUAGCUAGUUGGUGAGGUAAAGGCUCACCAAGGCGAUGAUACAAAGCCGACCUGGGGGGGGGACGGCCCACUUGGGACCGGGACCAGGCCCAAAACCCCUAGGGGGGGCGCAGUAGGGGAUCUUCGGGAAUGGGCGAAAGUCUGGACGGGGAACGGCGGGGGAGUGAAGAAGGUUUUCGGGACGGAAAACUCUGUUGGUAGGGAAGAAAGUAGGUGGGAGGGGAAAGCGCAUGAAGUGACGGUAACUACCCAGAAAGGGACGGCUAACUACGUG